Molecule: ribosomal RNA, 579 nt
Filed under: Penicillium chrysogenum
Lineage: Eukaryota; Fungi; Ascomycota; Eurotiomycetes; Eurotiales; Aspergillaceae
Description: eukaryotic LSU rRNA
Rfam family: 5.8S ribosomal RNA (bases 196-348)
Source: RNAcentral
GUUGACUGCGGAGGUCUUACCGAGUGAGGGCCCUCUGGGUCCAACCUCCCACCCGUGUUUAUUUUACCUUGUUGCUUCGGCGGGCCCGCCUUAACUGGCCGCCGGGGGGCUUACGCCCCCGGGCCCGCGCCCGCCGAAGACACCCUCGAACUCUGUCUGAAGAUUGUAGUCUGAGUGAAAAUAUAAAUUAUUUAAAACUUUCAACAACGGAUCUCUUGGUUCCGGCAUCGAUGAAGAACGCAGCGAAAUGCGAUACGUAAUGUGAAUUGCAAAUUCAGUGAAUCAUCGAGUCUUUGAACGCACAUUGCGCCCCCUGGUAUUCCGGGGGGCAUGCCUGUCCGAGCGUCAUUUCUGCCCUCAAGCACGGCUUGUGUGUUGGGCCCCGUCCUCCGAUCCCGGGGGACGGGCCCGAAAGGCAGCGGCGGCACCGCGUCCGGUCCUCGAGCGUAUGGGGCUUUGUCACCCGCUCUGUAGGCCCGGCCGGCGCUUGCCGAUCAACCCAAAUUUUUAUCCAGGUUGACCUCGGAUCAGGUAGGGAUACCCGCUGAACUUAAGCAUAUCAAAAAGCCGGAAGGAAAU